GGGGGGGGGGGGCGGGGGGCGUGGCACGGGGGGGUCGGGGGGGGAGGCGCCGGUGGGGGGGCUCGAGGGGCGAACGGGGGGGUAACGCGUGGGUAACCGGCCCUUGACUUCGGGAUAAAUUCAGGGAACUGGGGCUAAUCCCGGGUAGGAGUCCUUGCUGCAUGGUGGGGGUUGGAGAGCUUCGGCGGUUUUGGAUGUACUCGCGGCCUCUCAGCUUGUUGGUGGGGUGGUGGCUUACAAAGGCUUUGACGGGUUACCGGCCUGAGAGGGCGACCGGCCACCUUGGGACUGAGAUACGGCCCAGACUCCUACGGGAGGCAGCAGUGGGGAAUAUUGCACAAUGGGCGGAAGCCUGAUGCAGCAACGCCGCGUGCGGGAUGACGGCCUUCGGGUUGGAAACCGCUGUCAGCAGGGGCGAAGCUUGUGGUGACGGUACCUGCAGAAGAAGCACCGGCUAACUACGUG
This 465-nucleotide ribosomal RNA is filed under the name uncultured bacterium. Its description in RNAcentral is "partial 16S ribosomal RNA". It matches the Rfam family "Bacterial small subunit ribosomal RNA", at positions 38 to 507 of the family's 1533-position model. The record is from RNAcentral.